RNAcentral lists this ribosomal RNA (99 nucleotides) under Vibrio cholerae. Lineage: Bacteria; Pseudomonadati; Pseudomonadota; Gammaproteobacteria; Vibrionales; Vibrionaceae. The record is from RNAcentral.
UUUGGACCCACCUGAUUCCAUCCCGAACUCAGAAGUGAAACGAAGUAGCGCCGAUGGUAGUGUGGGGUUUCCCCAUGUGAGAGUAGGACAUCGCCAGGC